UAUGUUAUGUGUUUGUAUUUUUAAUAAUGUGUUGUUGUAUGUAUAAUAUUACUUGUUAGUGGUGAAGUGAGUUUCUGAUGUAAAACAUAUUGAAUUUCAAUAACUUUGUCUUUAGACAUUUGUUGAUUCUAAGAUUAACGGCGUCAAAAUUGUAUUUUAAUUUUUCACAUUUUUCACAUAACUCUUUUUAGGUGUUUUUGCACUAUCUCCCAUCUUUUGACCUUGACCCAUCACCAUCUAAGUAUUUCGUUUACCUCUACG
This 261-nucleotide long non-coding RNA is filed under the name Brassica napus (rape). RNAcentral describes it as "long non-coding RNA (BNAP_LNC015363)". The record is from RNAcentral. Lineage: Eukaryota; Viridiplantae; Streptophyta; Magnoliopsida; Brassicales; Brassicaceae.